ACCCAUUACCGGAAAAGUCUCCGAAUUGGACCGAGGUUUUGGCUACCCCCCCAUUGUCAGACAUCCCGAGCGCGUUCCCGAAGUCAGAAUCGGCAAAGGUGAACCGGGACAGCCUUCUUCCUCCUCCCAGCCGCCACAGUGACCGUUGUCAAGUCUGUGAGUAAAAUAUUAAUUUUAAUUGUAAUUUCGAUAUUAUUAUAUGUUCAAGUAUGCCCAUGCAUCACUUAUAUGCAUAUAUCUAUGUAGAUAAACUUUAGGCACGAUUUAUGUUGCAUUCAUAACUGUGAAAGUGCCAUGUAUGUUGUUGUGGUAAUUUGGAGCAGUGUGCGUGCGUCGGCGUGCGUGUGAUGUGGUGUGGACUAUGGAUAGGACGGGUAGACACGGCUUGAGAUCUUCGCUGGGACUCGGUCCUUCGGGGUAGACACGGCCUGAGUUCUUCGCUGGGACCCCGAAUUGGUUAUUAAGUGGAAGUCCGAGCUGAGUUCUUGGCUGGCACAGUUGGAACUAAGAGAGCUGUAUAGGGGAUCAGCUCCCAUAUAUAUUAUGAUUGAUAUUACUGGGUGCGUGAGUGCUCCAAAUUACCUUUUUGAUGUUAUGAUGUGAAAUUAUUGCUGGUGUUGCAUUUCACUCUACAGGGUGCAUUAGUUUUAGAUAGUUAUAGAGAUUAUGGUUAAAAUUGAUAUUUUACUCUCUGAGUCGAACGCUCACUCAUGUUCAAUAUUUUUCCAGGCUACAGGAGGAUUUUAUUGUGGUUAACCUGCUUUUCUCCUUCGCAGGUUGUUUUAUCAAUAUUUGUGUAAUUUUAUUUACUUCUAGAAUUUCCGCAUGUGUUAGAAAUAUUUAAAUGAUUCGGGUCUGUAAUAUAAAUUGUCAUGUGGACCUGUAAAAUUAUUAUAUGCAUGUUUGAUGGACUGGAUGAGGGAGCUGAGCUCCCAUUUAUCUUUAUGUUGAUUUCAGUAUGUGGAGGGUGAGCUGAGCUCCCCAAUUGAUGAUA
Long non-coding RNA from Hevea brasiliensis (rubber tree), 994 nucleotides. RefSeq lists it as uncharacterized. The transcript is spliced from 2 exons. NCBI's taxonomy places the organism in Eukaryota, Viridiplantae, Streptophyta, Magnoliopsida, Malpighiales, Euphorbiaceae. The record is from RefSeq and is a predicted model, not a curated record.